This 297-nucleotide ribosomal RNA is filed under the name uncultured bacterium. Its description in RNAcentral is "partial 16S ribosomal RNA". It matches the Rfam family "Bacterial small subunit ribosomal RNA", at positions 28 to 301 of the family's 1533-position model. The record is from RNAcentral.
GAUGAACGCUGGCGGCGUGCCUAACACAUGCAAGUCGAACGAAGCAAUCAGAAUGAAGUUUUCGGAUGGAUUUCGGAUUGACUGAGUGGCAGACGGGUGAGUAACGCGUGGAUAACCUGCCUCACACUGGGGGAGUAACAGUUAGAAAUAGGCGUGCUAAUAACCGCAUAAGCGCACAGUGCCGCAUGGUACGGUGUGAAAACUACCGGUGGUGUGAGAUGGAUCCGCGUCUGAUUAGCCAGUUGGCGGGGUAACGGCCCACCAAAGACGACGAUCAGUAGCCGACCUGAGGAGGGU